RNAcentral lists this long non-coding RNA (1081 nucleotides) under Equus asinus (donkey). RNAcentral describes it as "lncRNA (ENSEASG00005023889.1)". Lineage: Eukaryota; Metazoa; Chordata; Mammalia; Perissodactyla; Equidae. The record is from RNAcentral.
CAGUGGGAAAAUUGUAACCAUAUCCGAGGGGAAGCCCUGCCCCCAUCCUCCUGGAAGGACAAUUGGCGUGAGCAACAUGGCUGGCAGGGGUACGGCAGGGGAGGGAGGUAAAUGAGGGGACAUAUAGUGCAAUGAACGGAUUAGAUAUCAACACCUUGCACUAUCAGCUUUAAUAGAUGCUCUGAAAACUUGGAAGUAACAAGGACAUUUUUAUUCCAAAGAUUGUCAUUAGUGUCUUUUGCUAGCCCCUCCUAAGUGACAGUGGUUGACCAUUGGCAACUGACUCUUCAAACUCUUCUCCAAAGCAGUGCAAGGAACUUAGUUCAUCUGGAUGCAGGUUUAUUCCAAACUUUCUUGCCUUGUGUGCUCUGUCCUUCCCCUCUGAUUAUGCUUCAGCCACAUCAAAGCCCCAUAGGCAUUGCCCUGGGGGAUCAAGAAGCAGUCCACCCAACAAAGAAGAGUAGAGGGGCAACAUCGCUCUGCCUUGAGCCUUUCCUCAUUCUUCAGAGCAUUAUUUACAAUAGCCAAGAUAUGGAAGCAAGCAAGGUGUCCAUGGAUAGAUGACUGGAUAAAGAAGAUGUGGUACAUAUACACAAUGGAAUAUUACUCCGCCAUGAAAAAUAACAAAAUCUUGCCAUUUGAAUCAACAUGGAUGGACCUAGAGGGUAUUAUGCUAAGUGAAAUAAGUCAGACAGAGAAAGACCAAUACCAUAUGGUUGCACUUAUAUGUGGGAUCUAAAAAAUAAAAGACAUAAACAAGACAAAACAGAAACUCAUAAAUACAAAGAACCUCCUGGUGGUUGCCAGAGGGAAGAGGGUGGGUGAUGGGCAAAAUAGGUGAAGGAGAUUAAGAGGCACAAACUUCCAGUUAUAAAAUAAAUACGUCAUGGGGAUGUAAUGUACAGCAAAGGGAAUAUAAUCAAUAAUACUGUAAUUACUUUGUGUGGUGACAGAUGGUAACUAGACUUAUCAUGGUCAUCACUUUAUAACAUACAUAAAUGUCGAAUCAGUAUGUUGUGCAUGUGAAACUAGUAUAAUAUUGUAUGUCAAGUAUGCUUCAAUAAAAAAAAGUAGAGCCAGC